GUGGGGAAUUUUGGACAAUGGGCGCAAGCCUGAUCCAGCAAUGCCGCGUGCAGGAAGAAGGCCUUCGGGUUGUAAACUGCUUUUGUACGGAACGAAAAGGCUCUGGCUAAUACCUGGAGCUCAUGACGGUACCGUAAGAAUAAGCACCGGCUAACUACGUGCCAGCAGCCGCGGUAAUACGUAGGGUGCGAGCGUUAAUCGGAAUUACUGGGCGUAAAGCGUGCGCAGGCGGUGCUGUAAGACAGGCGUGAAAUCCCCGGGCUCAACCUGGGAAUUGCGCUUGUGACUGCAGCGCUGGAGUGCGGCAGAGGGGGAUGGAAUUCCGCGUGUAGCAGUGAAAUGCGUAGAUAUGCGGAGGAACACCGAUGGCGAAGGCAGCCCCCUGGGCCAAUACUGACGCUCAUGCACGAAAGCGUGGGGAGCAAACAGGAUUAGAUACCCUUGUAGUCC
Molecule: ribosomal RNA, 450 nt
Filed under: uncultured bacterium
Lineage: Bacteria
Description: partial 16S ribosomal RNA
Rfam family: Bacterial small subunit ribosomal RNA
Source: RNAcentral